RNAcentral lists this ribosomal RNA (468 nucleotides) under uncultured bacterium. RNAcentral describes it as "partial 16S ribosomal RNA". It matches the Rfam family "Bacterial small subunit ribosomal RNA", at positions 28 to 507 of the family's 1533-position model. The record is from RNAcentral.
GACGAACGCUGGCGGCGUGCUUAACACAUGCAAGUCGAACGGAAAGGCCCUGCUUUUGUGGGGUGCUCGAGUGACGAACGGGUGAGUAACACGUGAGUAACCUGCCCUUGACUGUGGGAUAACUUCAGGAAACUGGGGCUAAUACCGGAUAGGAGCUCCUGCUGCAUGUUGGGGGUUGGAAAGUUUCGGCGGUUGGGGAUGGACUCGCGGCUUAUCAGCUUGUUGGUGGGGUAGUGGCUUACCAAGGCUUUGACGGGUAGCCGGCCUGAGAGGGUGACCGGCCACAUUGGGACUGAGAUACGGCCCAGACUCCUACGGGAGGCAGCAGUGGGGAAUAUUGCGCAAUGGGCGGAAGCCUGAUGCAGCAACGCCGCGUGCGGGAUGACGGGCUUCGGGUUGUAAACCGCUUUCGCCUGUGACGAAGCGUGAGUGACGGUAAUGGGUAAAGAAGCACCGGCUAACUACGUG